Catharus ustulatus (Swainson's thrush) is the source of this 376-nucleotide long non-coding RNA. RefSeq lists it as uncharacterized. The transcript has 3 exons. Lineage: Eukaryota; Metazoa; Chordata; Aves; Passeriformes; Turdidae. The record is from RefSeq and is a predicted model, not a curated record.
GGCUUGAGGGUGCACAGACCAUCACACUGUCUACACUGAGAAAAACUCUUUGAGCCAUUUAUUGCCAGAUUCCUUCUUCUUCUGGAGUCCCUGACUUUUAAUGUUGCUUUUUUUAAUGUUCACCUUUUAUGGAUGGAUACUCCAGGCCUUGACAGGAGGUUGCUGAGGGCUCAGAAGAAUGCCUGGCAGCUGAGAGUGCAAAAGUGAUUUCCUGGCCACAGGUGACCAGUCUGGAGAGUGAGACAUGAGCCAAAAUAGGAACACAGCAGGAAGGAAAGGAGCAAAGACAAAGGAGGUUUGUGGAAAGGAGGAAUUCCAGAGGCCUCUCUGGACUGAGGUCUCCUGAAGUGAGGUAGAGGAGGAAUACAGAAGCAGA